CCCAAGUAACACAGAACGUAGCGUAAACGUUGCCUGAUUGUAACAAAUGUCAGGCAACCUUAAACAGCCAACCACAACGUUGAAUGUACGUUGCCAGCUGUACGUUCAAGUGAUGUCACAAAUAAAUGUCACAGCAACGUCCCGACACCCACGUUGUGUCAACGUUGCAUGUAAACAUCAAUUUAACGUGUAAAUGGUAUCAAUGUAGCAACGUUACAAAACAGCACGUUCCCAAAACGUUGCUGGAGGUCAUCAAUAGUGACAUUAAUGUGAUGCCAAGCUGCUGUAGCAUUUCGCAUGUAUACGUUCAUGCAACUAUAAGAUAUUUUCAUUUUCAACUGAACAUUCAUCUUUAUCAUACAGUGAGGUAUGGAGCUGUAUAGUGGUUAUGCAGUAAUUAAUAUCUUCUAAGGAACACCACGUUAAAUUAUGUUUAUUAUGCUUCUCCACAGAUAAGAUCUGCUACAAAUUAUAUCAAACGGCAGAAGCGUUCACAUGGAAAAAAUGCUAAUUGUUGCAACGGUUCACCUAUAGUAGACAAAGUUACGCAUAAAAGUAUUCCCUUCUUCCACACCAAAUGCACAAGACUUUGUGACUGCUUGCACGCCACUUGCUUCCAAAAGUGGAAACAUUAAGCAAGGGCCAUCAUGAAUAGGCACAAGCCCCAUGAUACGAGCUGCAUAAAAAUGACGAACACAUCCACACUGUACAGUGGAUACACACAGAUCAUAUCUACUUGUCCAUAUGAAAAACAGUGCAUUUUUUUUUCAGUUCACGUAUGGUUUACAUCAUAGAAACGGCACUAGAGCAAAGGACUAUAAGCCACCAAAACGACUGCAAACACAUCGUACACCAGCGCACAUUUGUUUCACACACCUCACAGGACACAUGCACGCUGCAGACGUCUUUUUUUAGGAGGAAUCUUCGCGAGCCGCACGAUAAACACAGAAGGUACGGAUGACAGGGGCAAAACCCGCGCACAUUCAACACACCGACACGAAAGGAAAUGCGGACGAUACGGGUGUAACCUGCGCCACACGAGCUAUCAACCCUCGUGGAUUUGAUCCUUUCCGCCUGAAACAGUCACAACGCGCACGGAAACAUCGAACACUGCACAUCUGUACCUCCGAUAUCGUGUCAACAAUUCCUGAGGCUACAAUUCAUGUUGACGACAUCAGAAAGUUAUUUAAAACUAAGUGACGGCGUAGGAAAAGUAGGCAGCAUCGCUAAACGUCAUGGAUUGGCUUCGAGACAGCUUCGAGACAGCCCAAACCGUUUAAAUCACGCCACAGCGACGGCUUGAUAAGGAUAACGUAAGCUGAUCUCGAAGGCCAUGCUUAUGCUGGCUGCAGACGGCGGAAGCAAUUCAAAGGUAAAAUACGUUAUAAAAUUUCUUUCUACGCCAAACUAUAGUGUAAAAUAUAGAUUGUUCUACGGUUGUUUUGUCUUGCAACAUCUAUACGUAGUUGUGUGUAACCCGGCAGAAAAUUUUAGUAUGUGAUUGUACUGGUUAAUAUUUUUGUCAUCACAGAGGCCACAACAGUCUCACAAGUAUGCAGGUGGCGCUAUUGUUUUUCCUCCGUGUUCUGUGAUGGCGGUCGUAUGUGCGGCGUGCUACAAGCGUCGCGUUUACUUGAUCGUGUGUUUUUGUGUUUGCAGUUAUGAAGUGGGUCGCAGUUGGCGUGCACAGAAGUGCCUGAAGAUGCCUUGUGUCAUGCUACAAACUCGCCGUAUGCGUGGCGCGCCAGGCAAAUGUGGCCCAACGAUUUUAUGCCGUGGAGUGCGACCCCUUUGUUCUCGUGGAAAGUUGGGUGGACGUCGCAAAGAAAUAUUGUGUGUUGGGCGCGCCUCAGCUCGUCCACUACGCAGCGGCAUGUAUGCGGGAAGUAACAUCGUCGACGCAGCACCGGCAACUUGGAGAGCGCUUCGCGACCGCGUCGUACCAUUCAAAAGGGGCGAGGCUCUGACCCAUAACAGUGCCCACAUAACGGAGGAGCCACGAGGCCCCUUGGCUAUGCCUGCCGUAGUGCAACGUGUAAUCUGGAUGGUCGGGUCAGGUACACCUAGGAACUGUUUUAUACAUUGGCAACGAUAACUGGGGCCUGCUCCAGUGCCAUGGCCGGGACUCCCUGUUCUGCAAAGAACUGGCAUAACUGAUGUGGGGAGCCCUGGCGCUCGGCGUAGGAGCGUCACAGGGGCUCCUUGUCGGUGCUUGAAGGACGGCAAUGCUGUUGAGAAGCCGACAUUGAGCCCCGAUAAAUUGGAAGCUGUGGGUAGUUACCGCAUUAUUGACUUGGAAACCAGUGAGGUCUGGAUGCAAGUGAAGCUACCGAGGGAGGCAUGUGUGCAUCACUUGUGCUGCUGGCCAUCCUCUGCAAAAGUGAUGGCUGGCUGUCAGUGCUUGGAUGACUUUCUGUUACUCUACGCCUUGGGCUGUGUUGACUACUUCACACUUGCUGCCAUGUCUGCAAGCUUAGGCAAAAAGACUGGCUGGAUGCUUGGCAGGAGAUAGUAUCCAACCGCAGUGUAACUGUGUUGUGUUGUACAUUACAAAGUCAAGGAGGACAGUAUUUGUGCUGUUAUUAAGAAGUAUAAAUUGUGUUCGGCCAUUGACAUAAGGGAACUCGACAAAAAGCAAAAAAAUUUGAAGUCUGACCUACAUGGCAAGGCAAAAUAUAUUGUGCUGUAGUUGUAGCUGUUAGUAGAGACUUAAUAUGCGAUAGAAGACCUUGAUGUUUAAUAGAAAAUAUAUUUAAGUGUGUUAUCAGUGUGUUAUCAGUUUUUAAGUUGCUGUUAUAUAAGUGUCAUUUGUUUGCCAGGAUUAUGUAAGCAGACGGUAAAUAAAUGCAUGGUUUGACAUUAUAACCAGGUUUGUCUAUGGCAUUGACUAUUAUUUAAGGUGGACCAAUGCAUAUUCAUGGGUGUAUAUUCAACCACGACAUAUUCCUCCUGCACAAACAAUUCCUACAUACUAGCGUUUGUUCUUAGCAGCUGAUGUUGGCUAUUAUGCAAUUUCUUGAAAGCACAUGCAGCUACCGAAACAUGAUUUUUAGAGCAGUAAGUAAGAAGCAAAGAAACUGAUUUUUCUGUGCCCUAAGCAUAAAUGAUAUGUUUAAAGAAAAUGAACAUUUGUAGAAGAUUUUUACUUUUCUGCUGUGAGAACCUUUAUACGAGAACUCUGCACACUGGGUGUGUAUGCUGCUCUCUUGCUGUUAUAGCCAAAAUGAAAAAGUGUUAUGAACCACUUUGUAGCUUUGCAUUAUGCACUUUUACUUGCAGUCAGCAUCUAUAUACUGUGCUAUGGACAACAGCAAGACAAGUCAGGCAAACCACCAUGUGAAACACUUUAAAGAUUCUGGAUUAGGGCGAGUUGGUACUAUAUAUAGUGCAAGACAAAUCAGCUGAGCGUACAGCACUGCUGUCAGCAUGACACGGCUGACAGCACCGCAAACCCUUAAAUAUAUGUUUGUUUGACAGAUUAUGCAUUCUAGUAGUUUUCAUGUGCAUAUGCAUGAAAAUGUAAACAAGAAUUGGUGAAAAACAGCAUUCUUUUACGUAGAUAUAUCUUGUGUAUCUUACCACCACAAGGUAAGAUACACAGAUACACAAGAUAUAUACUUAAAAGAAUGCUGUUUUUCACCAAUUCUUGUUUCACAUUCUCAUGCAUAUGCAACAUGAAAACUACUAGAAUGCAUAAUAUGUCAAGCAAAUAUAAAUUUAAGGGUUUGCGGUGCUGUCAGCCGUGGCAUGCUGACAGCACUGCUGUUAUGCAUGUCUAAAUAUUCUGCAAUGUAAUUUGAGUGUUGCUUGAAUGUCAUACACGUACGUUGCCUGAAAGCGCAAGUGACAUAAGGCAACAUCCACAUUACGUUGUCAGGAAGUUCCCUUAACGUUAUGUCAACGUCGUGAACGUGCUGCUCAAUGCUGCCACAACGUUGCGGCCCAACGUUGUCUGGCGAUCAAAAAAGAGGACAUUAGCAGCAUGUAGGCAACGUUAUACACCGACAUUUGUGCACAUUCAGAGAACGUUAUGUCAACAUUUUGCGUUACUU
Molecule: long non-coding RNA, 4052 nt
Organism: Dermacentor silvarum
Lineage: Eukaryota; Metazoa; Arthropoda; Arachnida; Ixodida; Ixodidae
Exons: 4
Source: RefSeq, a predicted model, not a curated record